GACUCUGCUGCCGUUUUACCAACAAAGUUCAUGGAAUGUUCUAAAUCCUUUCUUGUCAUUUCAGCCGUCUUCACAGCGUCUUCACCAGGAGUGCACUCCACCUCACAAAACUGCUUCCCUUGCUCAUCUGUGAGCAGCAACUCCUCACGCAUUAGAGUUUAUCACGGGAUGGUGGCAAUUCAGUCUCGUCUUCAGGCUCCACUUCUCAUUCUAGUCCUCUUGCUGUUUCCCCUCCAUCUGCAUUUACUGCCUCCAGUGGAGUCUCGAAACCCUCAGAGUCAUCCACGAGGGCUGGAAUCAAGUUCUUCCGAAGGUCACUGGCUGUGGAUUCUGACCCAUUCCUCUCGUCUUGCUGAGAAUCGCAGGGGUUCCUUUCUCUAAUGGCCCUUUUGAUUCAAUUAUGUCCCACGAAGAAAACAGGGGCACCAGCUACCUUGAACUGCUGCAGACUGCACUGCAAGACUGACCCACAUGCAGAAGAACCAGGCAGGACCCUAGAGUGACCUUUGCUUCAUCGACACGGUAACACCCCCGCCACGUAGGGAGCAACAGCACGCUUUUAGGCACACAGGAAGCACGAACACCUAAGGAGCCUGCUCGAGCUUAUGCCCACCCCUACACCUAACGACAAAACUUCCACGUUGAAUAUUUAUUCCCCACCUCACAUCAACAGUACCUGCUUUCCCUUACUCGGGGAGCCACGGCGUGGGAAACUGCGGUCUCCUUAUUUGCUGCAAAUAAAAUUUACUUUGUGGGACAACUGCUCCUGGUGAAGGCUUUGAUUUCGACUCACCAAGAAGCGAACUCACGUUGCUCGGCGACACACACUCCGUUUCAUGCUCAUAUUUGGACCUCUUCCCACGAAUCACAAAUGUUCUUGAUGACAUCUGGAUGGCGCAUCCUUUCCAGAGGUUUUCAGUUUACUUUUCCCAAAUCCGUCAGAGGAAUCAAUAGCUAUGGCAGCUGUAGCAUCAUGAAAUGUGUUUCUUCUUAAGUGAUAAGACUUGCCAGUUGAAAUUACUCCUUGAUCCAUGGGCUGCAGAAAGGCUGCGUGUUAGCAGGCAUGACAACAUUACUCUCGUUGAACAUCUCCAUCGGAGGUUUUGGGUGAGCAGGUCCCAGAAGCCAGGAGGUGCAAGGAGCUGGAGUCCUCUGUUCCAGGUCGUGAGUGAGCAGACCUCACUAACUCUUCAUGGCCUUAAAUCUAAGCGGCUGUUUUAGAAGCUUCCCGGGGAAAAGCGAAAGCACAGCAGGAACUGUGGUGGGCAUCCCAAACUCAAGUCGUUAUCUGAACGUCCAGUCCUUGUCCAAAUGCGGGCAGGGUUGUCCUACUGCAAAAUGCCUGUGCGGCAACUCAGAAAAACAAAGCUGUUCUUCUCAUCACAGACACCUGCUUCCACUCCACACCUAGCCGGCCCUGGCAUCGUCCACCUUGCCGCUCACUCCGUCAUCAGCCCGCCACACUCCGCUCCUCCCUUAUCCCCUUCCCACAUUGCUGCCAGAGAAGCUCUGGGGGAAUGCAGCCUAGGGAUGGUGAUGGCGAAAAAAACAAUUAACAGUUAAGUUUCCGUUUAAAUAAGUUUUUAGAAGAGAAGUAGGGUAGGGUAUGUGAGGAUUGAGAUGAUCAGAGCUUUUCCAAAAAGCAGAAUAGAAAACGGAAGGUGGCCGAGAAUCAGGUGCGAGACACAGCAGCUCAGGCACUCAAGGACAAACAGGAGUGCACGCCUGGUUGUUUGGCCACAGAGCCGACUACCGUGCAAAGGCACUGGGGAAGAUCUCAGUGGAGGUUCCAGACAGGGUGGCCUGGACCACGGCACAGCCAAAAGGGAGCAAGAGAUCAGCCGGACGCAGUGGGAUUCUGGGCAGGCAGAGGCAGA
Molecule: non-coding RNA, 1877 nt
Organism: Equus caballus (horse)
Lineage: Eukaryota; Metazoa; Chordata; Mammalia; Perissodactyla; Equidae
Source: RefSeq, a predicted model, not a curated record